Molecule: small RNA, 49 nt
Filed under: Salix viminalis (osier)
Lineage: Eukaryota; Viridiplantae; Streptophyta; Magnoliopsida; Malpighiales; Salicaceae
Source: RNAcentral
AGGAGAAGGGGGAGUGCUACUAUAUAUAUAUAUAUAUAUAUGCACUCCU